UCAAAGAAUUAAGGAAUCUAGUUUAUAAGAGCCUGAGUCAACGGGACUUAAAAUAAAACGGGUUUUUACUCCCGGAACCCACUAAGUUAACUAGGUAAAAAUUAACCUAGUUAGUAAUGGGUAAUUAGAUAAUAAACUAUGAGUUAUAGUUUCAUUUAUGAAUCCCUAAACUUGAGGGACUAAACAUGGGCAAGUGUAAUGAAGUUUAAUAAAAAAACACAAACCACACAUACGUAUGUGGUGUCUGCGAUUUCAUCAGAGCCACAAGGAGCUCUCAAAACUCAACCCUAAACUUCAAGAAAAUUCACCAAAUUGAAGGGUGAAUCAGAGCCAAAUCGUAUGCAUGAACACAUAAAAACAAUCACCAAGCUUAUGGGAUCAUAAGUUUGACGCUUAACGAGCUAGGUGGAGGCUUGAGAAAGAAGCGGCUAAACGAAUCAAGCGCGUGAAGAAAGGCGUAAACCGGAUGGGAGGUAAGUGUAAUUUUCGCACUUAUGUAGAUUACUCGUUUAUUCUAUACGAAAUAAUCGCGAUAACAAUAAUAUUAAAAUAUGGAUUUUGUUAAGAUUACUUUGUGGUGUAAUCUAAUGAUGAGGAAAAAUGGUGAAAAUGGAAAUUGGUCAAGAGUCGACUAAUGUAAUUAAGGUUAAAAGCGUGCCCAUGGCGUAAGCCGAAAUGGGUUGAAUUAGUAAGAAAAGAAUUUAAGAGAUAAAGGAUUUGGUAAUAUAAUCCGGGAUGGGAUGGAUGUAUGAAUUGGACAUCAAAAACCAUGUUUUUGAUUUAAAUAGAUAACGUUGGGUAUAUAGUCCAAAUGGGUCAAAUGGUGGUGAUAACACCAUUUGACAAUACCGACUAAUGCGGUGGUCAAGUCUUAUGUUAACAGGAUCAAUUGGCGAAUUGGAUAAAUGUGUCGCCAUAGAUUGAGUGACAAUUAAAGCAAGGUACAAAACCGGGUCUAUUUGUUGUCCCGAGCCAGGUACGUAUAAAUAUGAUUAUAGCUAACGUACAAAUUUGGGCAAAUAAGUAGUGAAGGUCCUUCAUCAUAAAUGAAAGGUAAAAUGGACCAUUACGCCCUUGUAAGCUAAAUUGAAUAAAUGGCCUUUAACGGUAGUUUGGAAAUGAGUUUUAUGCUUAAUUAAAUGCUUACAAUAGGUACAAGAAGGAGAAAGAUGUAGGACUUUGGUUAAACGACUCUAUAUGGGUCUUACCGUAGAAUAACAAUCCGAGGAAAUAAAACUCGGAUUACAUAGAACAUUACAUUAAAUUCACCACACAUAUAGUUGUGGUGGAAGAUUAUUUGAUAAAUAUUGUGGAAAUAAGAUGCUAGAAAUAGACGAGUAUGAUGUAUGCGGAAAAGUGCUUAAAUACCCUUAACGGGUCAAAAUAAUCAUUUAAGUAUAAACGAGUUUAAGAUUAUACAUAAACUUGUGAGUUGAACCUAAUAUGUUAGACAACAUUGAAAUUAUAAGGUUCAUGUGAAAUCGGGAUCAAACAAUCAUGUUUGUUUGAUAAAAUGCAUAAACGGGUUAAAAUUCGGUAAAAAGGUGAUGAGUCGGAGGCUUAAAAGUCUAAAAAUUUAUUUUGUUGGAUGUUGGAUUUCAACUCCAUAAGAUGGAGGAUUAAAUUACGGACGCGUAGGAAAAAGAAUCGGGUAAAACGGAUCAAUAACGAAGAAGUUAUGGCCGUUUCCGUGAAAACGCUUUGAGCUGGGAAUGUACAGCAACAGCUGAAACAAAGGUCUGUGAAAAAUGGGGCCUAGCGAGACGCGACGCCCCUUGGCGUCACGCGACGCCCCCUAACUCCGAAAGUUGUUGAAUUUUGUCAUUUUUAACCCAUGUACUUGUUUGAACUUAAUAUUUGAUUAUCGAAACUAACUUUUAAGUUGGUUUUGAUCAUAGGUGAAUGCCAAGAGUGCACGGAUGAAGAUCAAGCUCGAUGAGGAACUGAACACGAUAAAAUACAAGCUUCCGCGCGGCGUUUUGUCGUAUCUUUAAAACGACGAAUCCAAUUACAUUAAGUUGUUCAAACUUUUAAAAUUGUAAAAGUUUUAGUAAACUCGUAUUUUCUAAGGAUACUUAAUAAUAAUUACACGUUUAUUUUCGUUA
This is a long non-coding RNA of Helianthus annuus (common sunflower), 2105 nucleotides long. RefSeq lists it as uncharacterized. The record is from RefSeq and is a predicted model, not a curated record. The transcript has 2 exons. NCBI's taxonomy places the organism in Eukaryota, Viridiplantae, Streptophyta, Magnoliopsida, Asterales, Asteraceae.